This is a long non-coding RNA of Notolabrus celidotus (New Zealand spotty), 256 nucleotides long. RefSeq lists it as uncharacterized. Lineage: Eukaryota; Metazoa; Chordata; Actinopteri; Labriformes; Labridae. The transcript is spliced from 3 exons. The record is from RefSeq and is a predicted model, not a curated record.
GGUCCCACGUCUAUCAACACCCACCAGCUGUGUUUUCCCACUGGUAGGGGCAGGAUAGCCGAAUAGCUGGAGUCACGAGACCAAGGUUCUACUAGGGAGCCACGGUGAGGUGAGCAGAUGUAGUGGGACAGGAUCGCUUCAACACUUUGCUCUAACUUCAUAAAUCAAGGAUUUCAUCUAGACAGGUGCUUCCUGUCCGGACUUUGACGUAAAAUUAAACACAAGUCCAGAUGUGAAGUGUGUGUGUCCCUGCGUG